UCCAUUCCAGGUGAUGCGAGAGUACGUCGGUG
This 32-nucleotide ribosomal RNA is filed under the name Pseudoxytenanthera monadelpha. RNAcentral's name for it is "partial 18S ribosomal RNA". Lineage: Eukaryota; Viridiplantae; Streptophyta; Magnoliopsida; Poales; Poaceae. The record is from RNAcentral.